GCGAUUGGACUACUGGCAUCCUGUUGGAAAUCUCAGAAAGCGAUUGUUUUAAUGCGGCUCGAAAUUAUUCUUCAGUCUACUGGUCUCCAAUCAAUGUCGUAUGCGUAGCAUUUGAAAAUGAAUACACCAUAUUAUAUGAUGGAUUCGGUCGCUGGCAAGCCUGGUUAACGUCGAAUCCAGUUUGUUUGGAGUUCACGUUAAAUAGACACAUUGGUCACAUGGUAGUAGGGGAGACCACGUAUAACACUUCUACCUACACUUCAUCGCUUGAGCACUGCUUCCGGGAAUGUUUUGACGACAGUCUCUGCUACACAUUCGUGUAUUCCUCCAACAUGUGUUACAAGUACGGAUGUGAUGGUAAUUGUCAGCUGGCCUCUAGCGGUGCAAAUACUGUUUACCAGCGCGUUUGUCUCGAAGAUUGCAUGCCGUUGAUUAACACAUCCCAAUACGCCGUAACAAUAGUUGGUGGUUUUUCAAACGGCGCGAUGGCAAAUUACACGUGCAAACCAGGACAUACCUAUCACACUGGGAACCUUACAA
This is a long non-coding RNA of Dreissena polymorpha, 540 nucleotides long. RefSeq lists it as uncharacterized. NCBI's taxonomy places the organism in Eukaryota, Metazoa, Mollusca, Bivalvia, Myida, Dreissenidae. The record is from RefSeq and is a predicted model, not a curated record. The transcript has 3 exons.